CAUUAAAAAAAUUCAUCCAGUUCUACUAGUAAAAACUGACAUUGCUAAUAGAAAAAUCAAAUAGUUACAUAUGAUGUGCCACGUGUACAUCAUGUUAACAUAUAGAAACUAAUUUUUAACAAUAAAAAUGGACGAAAUUUUAAAUA
Gossypium arboreum is the source of this 146-nucleotide non-coding RNA. Lineage: Eukaryota; Viridiplantae; Streptophyta; Magnoliopsida; Malvales; Malvaceae. The record is from Rfam.